AGGUAAUAAAAGUUAGAGUGGCCAUGUGGGUGAAGUCUUAUGAGUUGGGUUGUGUCUACUCCAUUCAGGAGAUUGUCUCAAAUAUUAAAUGGGUGAGUCAACAUCUUUACGGGUGAGCUCUGCUAAUUUGUGGUGCUGCUAAUUUGUUUCAGCUCUGCUGCUGUUGCUUUAUUUUCUUAAGCUUGCUGUUCUGCUCUGACUUUGUUGCUCUGGAUCUAUUAAUCUGUUGCUGUUGCUGUUACUUCAUUCAUGUGUGGUGCUGCUAAUUUGUGUGAGCUCUGCUACUGGUUCGUUCUGGCUGUUGCUGUAUUUUUCUUCAGCUUGCUGUUUUGAUCUGACUCUAUUGCUCUGGAUCUGUUAAUCUGUUGCUGUUGCUGUUACUGGGGCAGUUCAGUUGGGUCAUUUGCUUUGUUACUUUGGUGUUGUAAUCUGUUUGUUGUGUGGUGUUGUGGAGGUUGGUUUCUCAUCAACUUCCUGGGAUGCUAGCAUAUGAUUGGGCGUGCGUUUGGGUGCCAACUUAGUUGGGAUCCAUUUGUUUGCUCUUAUGCUUGUGCACCCUCUCUUGUUUUUGUUGUAAUCUUUUCCAUCAAUAAAGUUUUCUUCUUAUUUUAGGUUCUUUAAGUGUCUAGUGGCUAGUAUUUAGUUGCCUGCUCAUUGGCUUCUGGUUCUAUCAAAUACAUGUUUUUUAUAAGUAAAUAUUUCUGGUUUGAUUAAACAUAUCAUAACUUUACAUCGCUGUGAAUCACUUGAUUAUUCUGAAGGUGAACCUUAUUGUGAAUUCUGUUUUAUAUAUAUAUAUAUAUAAUUUGCUGUGGCAAUGUGAUUCUGCACCUUAUGCGCAAGUAGUCGCUUGUUUUCUACGAAUUGGGGGGAAUUAGUUGCUGCCUGAUGGACUUGCUUUUUGAUAUCAUUUUCUGCUAGGUCCUAUGUGAAGUUAUUAAUAGUGUUUGAAAUUGGAAGUAGUGGCAAACCUGGUUUGGUUUCCCCUAAUGUGUGAGUAUGCCAACAUAGGUUCUUUGAUAAUAAUAAUAAGGUUUACUUACCGUUGUACGAAAAAUUAAUGUUGUGGUAAAAGAUUGGCUCUAUUAGAUUUUGGAAAAAAGUGACUUUCUUGUAUGGGGUUCAGAGGUUGACUGUUAUUCCCGGAAGGUUUUUAAUUUUUUGCAGAAAAGAAAUUGGUGUUUGACAUGAAUUGAUGCUCUCUUUACCUUCCCUCACAAUGAUGGCUUUGUUAUCUUAUGGAGAGCUUGUUUCUAGUGGACAGGAUUUUUAGUGUCAUGUUCAUUGCCACCUCUAUGAAAUGGCCAGAAUAUAGGAAUUCAUUUGAGUUGCUGUAACAUUUUUGAGUUGCUAUUUCUAUUAGACCUUGAACUGCAUGUUGACUCUUAGAACUCUCUCUCUCCCCCUAUCCAUCUAUUGCAUGUUGACUCUUGGAACUAUCCAUCUACAUAUCUAUUUAUGAUCAAUCAACACGCAAUUUCUUGUCAUGAUACUCUCUUUCUCUCUAUCCAUCUAUAUAUAUAUAUAUGAUCAAUCGCUAUGCAGUUUCUUAUCAUGAUACUCUCUGGACUCAGUUGAAGAGUAGCAAUGCUGUUGUUAGAGGCAGUUUUGCAGGAAAACAUGGCGUGCUUUGUUAACUAUACAUACAAUGUUUCAUCCAUUCAUGAUAAGAUUCAUAUGUUCUUUGCUGAAAAAAUUGCUGAAGAAUGGGAUCCUUUAAUAACAUAUUAUUUUUUUGAAGUGCUGUGCUUCGUGUUACUGGAUUAGUGCUUAAUUGUUUGUAUUCUCUCUGAAGCUAAACUUUCUUCUUUUUUUACUAGUAUCUUAUUUCUGUACUUACCAAAAAAAGAAGUAUUUUAUUUCUGCAUUUGGUUAGCUCCACUUCUAUGUAAUUCUUGAACUUUAACUGCAAAAUGGAUUUACUUGUAUCUACUUCAGACUCAAACACUGGAGCAAGAAGCAUAUCCAGCAUUGGAUGAGUUGACUUCUAAAAUCAGCACACUUAACCUUGAGCGUGUUAGACAAAUAAAGAGUCGUCUCGUUGCAAUAUCUGGUCGUGUACAGAAGCAGUUUUUUCAAAGUGCUACUGACUAGCUGUCAAAGCCUCAUUGUGAAAGAGCUAAAAUAAUUAUUUCGAUAUAGGAGAAGGAAUGAAUCAAGCAAUUUCGAGUUUACAAGCAAGUGGAAAGUUGAAGAUGGACAAAACAUGGGUAUAUUUUCCAAGGUGGAACUCUUUUCUAAGGAUUUAGUAAUUGAAGUUGCCAACCAACAAUGUGUGCAGAGAGUUCUAAAAAGGCAGCAAAAAGAUAUAGGAAAGAGCAAUAAGCUAUAGUUGCUGCCACAAUGGACAAUAGAAGUGAUGGACCCAUUAGAAUUUCAGAUGUAGGUUCCAAUACUCGACAAAUUGAAUCACCAAAUGCAGAUGGAGUAGCUGACUCUAGUCAACAACCAAAGAAGAAAACUAGGGGGCCGUCAAAGUUAAAAAUGCAUGACAAAGGCAAACAAAAGCAUGAUGAGAUCGACUUCAAUGAAAGGAACCAAUCGAUAGGACAAGAAUCAGUGCACUUAUCAACCUUAGAAGAGAUCUUAGCUCGGGAGAUGGUGCUAAUUAAUAUAGAUUAUUGGUCUGAAGUUUUAGAUGAGAUUAAGGAUAAGUUAUGGGUUUGUGUGAAGGUAGUAUGUUUAUGCAGUUAAUUUUCAUACGACAAUUCAUUAUUUUCCCCUCUUUUGUAAUACUAAAUGUUUAGUUAUAUGAAAAUACAGCUUAGAUACAAAAUACAUGAUAUCCACAAGACACAUGCGAUGCAAAAGUUCGCAAAAUUGUGGCGCAAUUACAAGUCUGAACUAUUAUGAAAAGUAAGAACUCUCGUUACAGCAGGUAAAGGUCAUUUAGCAUGUAAUAUUGCCUUCACCAAACCUGAUAAGAUUGGUGGAUGAAUGGAAUGCAUUUGUGAAAAAUCGAUUUUCAAAAAGCUUCAUUGAAAAGAGUGAAAAAAUCAAAGAGAUGAGAGCAAAGCCGAAGGUGUUACACACGAUGAGUAGAAAAGGCUAUGCAUGGCUAGAGGAAGACAUUAAAAAUUAAAGCCAAGACCCAGAUUCCAUAUCUAGAGUGGAUGUUUAGAUCAAAGGACAUACAAGACAGAAGGGGAAACCUAUCAAUGAAGUGCUUCAGGAAGCAGUGAAUAAGGUUUAAGAGCUUCACAAGCCUUCUAUAGAAGAAGGGUCAAUGUAUAUCAAAGAUGAUGCAAUUAUUUAAGCGUUUGGUCCAAAGCGGCGUGGUAGUGUAAGAGGGCUUGGAUUUGGAGCAUUGCCAUCGAAAGUUGAUGCACAAGCAUACCAAAAUCAAAAUAUGAGACAACUAAAUGAAAAAUUACUGCUAUUAGAACAAGAACGUCGGGAGAUGAAAGCUGAAAUGUUAAAAGGAAAAAAGGCAAAAUGAGGAAAAAAAAUAAAAUAAAAAUGAACAAUGUCACAAUAUAUGAGGUUAAAUUUAUCUUCCUAUAAAAUUUAAUUGGUUUUUAACUUUGGUACUUCCCAUCUUAGAUAUAAGGAUAUUUCACAAAGUUUGUAAAAAUAAAAAAUUGAUUAAUACUUAUAGGAGUCAAGCAAAGGGGCAAAUGGACACUCAUAUGGAGAAACUCAGGGUGAGGAAAACGGUAGAGGUGAACAUAGGGUGCAUGGAGGUGGUGAACGUAGGAUGCACUCACAACAAAAUAUUUGGAUAAAUUUUGGUGAUGAAAACAAUGAAGACGAUGAAGAUAUUUGGUUGCAUGAUGCAAAUAAACUGAAAAUGGUGGAUCCUUGGACAAUGCCAAAUGCAAAUUGUUGAAUUGGGAUGGAACAAAGGUGGUGGUUGCGGAAGGCACAAUUGCAUCAACAGAUUCUAAAGCAUUGGUACAUCACGUGCUUCUUGGCCCUGGGUAUUGGAAGGAUAAAGGAGGUUGGAUAUACCAAAUGAGGCAAUGAAAGAAAAACAAAGCUGUAUGCAAAAGCCUGAAUUAAACUUGCUGUUCAGAAUUGAUGGAUACAUUAUCCGUCUCACCAUACACUGUUUUGUUUGAGGAACUUGAAUGAAAUCCAAAGACUACCGUAAAUUUCUCUCCAUUCUCAUUACGGCCUCUUUUGGUACUGGUGAAGUUAAACGGACAUUACGGCCUCUUUUGGUACUCGGCUUACAAGCUAGUUAUUGGCUUGAAAAGCCCACAAAUAAGCUAGUUCUUAAAGAAGCUAUUUCAUUUGGUAUAUUUUUGGUUUU
Molecule: non-coding RNA, 4255 nt
Organism: Camellia sinensis
Lineage: Eukaryota; Viridiplantae; Streptophyta; Magnoliopsida; Ericales; Theaceae
Source: RefSeq, a predicted model, not a curated record